CUUUGUUUCAUCUUUACCUGCAUCCUCUUCCUAAUUGUUCUAUUUGUUGCUCCUCCUCUCACUCCCCCUCUUCCUCUCUGCUCCUCUCUCUGCUGCUCCUCUUCCUCUGUCUGCUCCUCCUCCUGUCUGCUCCCCCUCAUCACUGCUGCUCCUCCUCCUCUUUCUGUCUCCUCCUCCUCUGUCUGCUCCUCCUCUUCCUCUCUCUGCUCCUCUCUCUGCUGCUCCUCUUCCUCUGUCUGCUCCUCUCUGCUCCCCCUCCUCACUGCUGCUCCUCCAACUCUUUCUGUCUCCUCCUCCUCUGUCUGCUCCUCCUCUUCCUCUCUGCUCCUCUCUCUGCUGCUCCUCCUCUUCCUCUCUCUGCUCCUCUCUGCUGCUCCUCUUCCUCUGUCUGCUCCUCCUCUUCCUCUCUGCUCCUCCUCUUCCUCUCUGCUGCUGCUCCUCCUCUCUGCUGCUCCUCUCUGCUGCUGCUCUUCUCUCUGCUCCUUGUUGCUCCUCCUCUCUGCUUCUCCCCUUCUCUGCUCCUCCUGUCUGCUCCUCACUGCUGCUCCUCCUCCUCUCUGCUGCUCUUCUCUCUGCUCCUCCUUGUUGCUCCUCCUCCUCCUCCUCUCUGCUGCUCUUCUCUCUCCUCCUCCUCUCUGCUCCUCAUUGCUGCUCCUCCUCCUCUCUGCUGCUCUUCUCUCUCCUCCUCCUGUCUGCUCCUCACUGCUGCUCCUCCUCCUCUCUGCUGCUCUUCUCUCUCCUCCUCCUCUCUGCUGCUCUUCUCUCUCCUCCUCCUCUCUGCUGCUCUUCUCUCUCCUCCUCCUCUCUGCUGCUCUUCUCUCUCCUCCUCCUGUCUGCUCCUCACUGCUGCUCCUCCUCCUCUCUGCUGCUCUUCUCUCUCCUCCUCCUCUCUGCUGCUCUUCUCUCUCCUCCUCCUCUCUGCUGCUCUCUCUCUCCUCCUCCUCUCUGCUGCUCUUCUCUCUCCUCCUCCUCUCUGCUGCUCUUCUCUCUCCUCCUCCUCUCUGCUGCUCUUCUCUCUCCUCCUCUUCUCUGCUCCUCCUCCUCUCUCUCCUCCUCCUCCUCUCUUCUCCUCCUCCUCUCUGUCCACAUCUUCAUACAUCUAUCAAAACAUUUUUUGGACACAUGCAGGAAACUGUGAUGGUGUCAGCAACAGUCAGUCAGUCAGUCAGUCAGUCAGUCAGUCAGACUGACAGUCAGACAGGCAGUCAGUCAGUCAGUCAGUCAGACAGACAGGCAGUCAGUCAGUCAGUCAGACAGACAGGCAGUCAGUCAGUCAGACAGACAGGCAGUCAGUCAGUCAGACAGUCAGUCAGUCAGACAGACAGGCAGUCAGUCAGUCAGACUGACAGUCAGUCAGUCAGUCAGACAGACAGGCAGUCAGUCAGUCAGUCAGUCAGACUGACAGUCAGUCAGUCAGACAGACAGGCAGUCAGUCAGUCAGUCAGUCAGACAGACAGGCAGUCAGUCAGACAGACAGUCAGUCAGACUGACAGUCAGUCAGUCAGUCAGACAGACAGUCAGUCAGUCAGUCAGACAGUCAGUCAGUCAGUCAGACUGACAGUCAGUCAGUCAGACUGA
Molecule: long non-coding RNA, 1578 nt
Organism: Takifugu rubripes (torafugu)
Lineage: Eukaryota; Metazoa; Chordata; Actinopteri; Tetraodontiformes; Tetraodontidae
Source: Ensembl